Long non-coding RNA from Cygnus atratus (black swan), 2118 nucleotides. RefSeq lists it as uncharacterized. Lineage: Eukaryota; Metazoa; Chordata; Aves; Anseriformes; Anatidae. The transcript is spliced from 5 exons. The record is from RefSeq and is a predicted model, not a curated record.
CCAGCAGUUCCCGGCAGCGAGCUGGACGAGGACAGCUGAGGGGAAUGUCGGGAGGAGCUGAGCUCCCAGGAGACAGCACGGAGGGAAAGCAUUUGGUGGUGGGGAACCGUGACCUGAGCCACUGGAAACCACGGGCAGGGAGACACAUCCUACUGCCUGCAGUCACGUCCUUUCCAAGGAGAUCAGCAAUUCUUGUUAUUGACUUCCCAUAGGACUUCAGUAAGCACAGAGAUUUUUUCUUCUCAUCCACUGAAAUCGGCUGCAGAAGCAGAAAGAGUCUCUGGACCCCUUGGGAAUGCUUGUUGGUGAUAUAAGCAAAGGCACAGAAUUAUACAGAUGAGGAUGAAAAAAGACAACAGAUUUCCCUGUGGCAUCUUUCUGUGCUUCUGCUGCAACAAUUAAGUUAACGUGUCACAUCUGCUAUACAUCCUAAUGAGGGGAAAUAGGAGGGAUUCUGACCCAAUUCAUCCGAGAGCAAGAGAUCUGAGAUGCUCGUUUCUAUAGCCCUAGAAGCAAAAGCCAUUAUUACAGCUGAGUACUAGUCCAGACUCAGUUGUGAAGAAUUUUGCCAUCAGGAAGACCUCACACGGUCCGACUACAGAUGUUCUCAAAAUAGCAGAUCUUCGUGCAAGUCAUAACUAUGCCACGGUCAUACUAGCUCUGUGUGACCAUACCGACUCCUGCAUCUCGGAGAAAGAACAUCCCACAACCACCUGUUGCUGUCCAGUCCUUUUUAGGGUACUGGACAUGACAAGAAUGGACCAAUAUCCUGUUUGGAAAUGCUACUUUGGAGAACUUUUGCCAGUCAUCCUAACAUCUUAUUUAACAUGAGAAAAGUUAAUUAAAUCAGACAAGUGGAAGAGAAUCUGCAAAUGCAGAAGUUACAAUAAAUAGGUGAUACAGCAAAUAAGAGCUACUAAUUCAAACCCACUCGUUGACAAUGUGAUGCAGAUGUGAAAUAAAGCAGAGCCAAUGCACAGGAGGGACCAGAUGGAAUUCCUGCAUCACAGCACAAAUCGCCAUGGGAAACAUCUGGAAAUUAUCACGAAAAAAACAAACAAAGAGGUCCCCUUAACCUUUAGAGCUGGUUAAUCACAAAUCAUUGAUUGGAAGUACCUGGAGAGUAGAGGUACAGCAGAUAUUGUGAAUGGAACUAAAAGAAGAAAGGCUAUGACAGUAUUUCAUAUCUGCUGUAUUUUGGGUUGGAUAUAAUGUCCUCAAUGGGAGACUGAGCAUUACCAAGAUGACAUUGCGUCUCCAAGGCAUAUGUGAACAAGGCAAAAGAAGGGUGUUUGCCAAGCUUAAUUAAACAUAUCCCAACACAUUAAAACAGAUAAAGCAGACAAGGCAGCAUAGAGAUCAAAAAGGGCUGAACAGUUCAAGUUGGAUACAUGGGUAUCUUUAGUGCCUGUACGUGGUGAACUAAAUCAGCAUAGAUGUGAGCGUGCCUAAAGCACAUGCUAUGAAGGACACACAUUGUCACCUUAUGUCUCUGCUCCUGCCCAGGUACCUUCUGGGGCAGAGUGCUGUGCGGCUGAGGGAUGCCCGUAUACUGAUAAGACGUUCUAGGUCCUCACUCUACAUUUCAGAUCAUGCUCUGAAAGCCAAACAUCUGACGAAUAGGCAACAUCCCACACAACUUGCAUAUGUAUUCAGCCUUCACUGGUCUUGGCCCUACACCAUCUAUGGUUCAGAGAUUUUCUGAAUGGUCCGGGAGCACACACAAAACAUGCUUCUCUUGGUUUCAGUUGCACCCUGUAUUAUUCUGGAAUUCUGGUUGUUUUUAGGGUCUGUCCCUGCCUAGACCAAAGAUACCAAAUGAAUGCAUCCAACCCAAGAUCUUUUACAUGAAGGAAGAAGCAUAGCUUUGAGUAACAACUUUUGAAAAAUGUUGUAAUAACCAAAAUGGGAAAAAUGUAGGUUUCAUUUAUAUGGUCAACUCAAAUAAAACAAAUUAGGUCUCAGUGAGUCCAUUAUUUCUUUACCAAAUUUAUAGUUCCCAUAUGUGAGAUUUGUCAUGAGUAUGGCCAAACAAGCCCUAACCACCCCUGGUUUAACCUGAAUUUAAAUGCUCUUAUGUGCUUAUUUUUAUAGAAAUAAAAUCUCUUUGGGGUUACC